GUAGUCUCGCACAGAUGCAUAUCAAUAAGCGGAGGAAAAGAAACUAACAAGGAUUCCCCUAGUAACGGCGAGUGAAGCGGGAAGAGCUCAAAUUUGAAAUCUUAAAGGGUUUCCCUUUACGAAUUGUAGUUUAAAGAAGUGUUUUCUGUUGAGGUUUUGGUAAAAGUUCUUUGGAAUAGGACAUCAUAGAGGGUGAGAAUCCCGUAUUUGACCUUUACUUUCAACUUUGUGAUACACUUUCAAAGAGUCGGAUUGUUUGGGAAUGCAGUCCAAAAUGGGUGGUAAAUUUCAUCUAAAGCUAAAUAUUGGCGAGAGACCGAUAGCGGACAAGUACCGUGAGGGAAAGAUGAAAAGAACUUUGAAAAGAGAGUUAAACAGUACGUGAAAUUGUCAAAAGGGAAGCGUUUGACACCAGUGUUGUUUUUCUGAAAAUCAAUUAAAGAACUGUUUAUGCUAAGCUGUUUAGACUUUAUCAGCUAAUCUGUUUAGUUUUGAGCUUUUCUUUAAUGCACUUUUCAGUUAACAAGUCAACAUCAAUUUCUUUUGCUGUAAAAAAGCUUGAGGAAGAUGGCUUGAGAUUCGUCUUAAGUGUUUAUAGCCUCUUGCCUAUGCAGUCGGAGAGAUUGAGGUCUGCAGCGUAGAUCCUUCGGGGCUAAAUGCAUUUGUGCUAAGUUAUAACAUUUUAUAGACAACUUGUUGACUAUGAUUUGUCUUGUAGCUUACUCGCUUAUGUUAUUUUACCUACGCUUAGGAUGUUGAUCUGUAGUGCGUGCGC
RNAcentral lists this ribosomal RNA (775 nucleotides) under uncultured Neocallimastigales. RNAcentral's name for it is "partial large subunit ribosomal RNA". It matches the Rfam family "Eukaryotic large subunit ribosomal RNA", at positions 24 to 647 of the family's 3401-position model. Lineage: Eukaryota; Fungi; Neocallimastigomycota; Neocallimastigomycetes; Neocallimastigales. The record is from RNAcentral.